This is a long non-coding RNA of Cydia pomonella (codling moth), 1708 nucleotides long. RefSeq lists it as uncharacterized. The transcript has 2 exons. The record is from RefSeq and is a predicted model, not a curated record. NCBI's taxonomy places the organism in Eukaryota, Metazoa, Arthropoda, Insecta, Lepidoptera, Tortricidae.
AUAGGGACCGUGCGCGUUGGAGGGUCUGCCAUCUUGUGGCCUGAAUCGGAACCAUAAACAUGCACAUUUACACGUCACGUGUUUUCUUUUGCAUAGUAGGUUCUGCCAUCUUGUGGGCUACAUCGGAACAAUAAACAUCACAUUUACGCCUCGCGCCAAAAAUCUGACGGCUCCUGUGCUGCCUCCUACAGUUCAUGCACGCUCCCUAUAACCACAAAUACUAAAACGUAUGUAAGGGCAUUUGUGGGUUAAAUUUUUUCAGUACUUGUUUCCUAUAAUAUAAUGUUCUAUUUUCUGUAUCCCUCGAUUUUUGUCGAGAGAGUAUUCUCUCCGUGGGUCUUAUGCCUGGGGACAGAAGUCCACUAAUAAUAACUGUACCUCUAGUGUAAAUUUAAUCGACAUCAUAACGUGACGAACGCGUUUGCGUUAAGUCUCAUUUUGUAUAGGAUUUUGAGUUUCCAAAACGUCCCGCUUGGCGCGCUCUUUCUAAAUCACAUACAAAAUGAGACUAAACGCAAACGCGUACGUCACGUUUCGAAAUCGAAUUUAUUUACACUAGGGGUACUGGUCAGAAGUAGUAGGCACUUAUAGUAACUGAUAUUUGAAACUCCGUAAGCGUGAUGUAGGUUUCUAAAUCCUGACCAGUAAUAUGUAUACGCGCCAUACUCGUAUUGCGGAAAUUAAUUGGAACUAAUUUUUUCAUACUAAAUUGAACUGUCACUCUAUACAUACAAUUGGUUGACUGGUAGAGAAUGCCUUAAGGCAUUAAGUCCGCCAUUUGUACCUUCAUGUAUUGUGCAAUAAAGAUUAAAUAAAUAUAUGAAAAUAACAGCGCCCUCUUGACAAUGAUCAUAUAUUUCUCACCUCAAUGCAAGAAUACAAUGUACAGUCAGCAUCAAAAGUUGCGGAUCAAACAAGGUUUCAAAAGUAUCUACCAUUCUGUAACAGCUUAACAAAAUGUGGUGGUUCUAUGUGUAGAACAAUUAAGACGGUAAAAGAUUUACUGUUGAAUGUAAAUUUUAGAGAUUUAUCUAUAUUUUGAAAAGUUAUCCAGAAUAUCAGAUACUUUUGGCGAGUUGUUUCAUCCGCUACUAUUGAUGCUGACUGUACAACUACAAAAUCCACACAAUUAUUACAUAAUCGAUUAAAUCAGUUCAGCAUUUCGAAAAAGCAAAUACAUUUUAUUAUUAACUCGUUGAAGUCUAAAUUCGUCAAUUCUUUGGCUAUUAUUAAAUGAAACUAUAAUGGGCUAUUAAAUGCUUUUUAAUUACUUAAAAAAAAUUCAGACACGUGUUUAACAAUUAAAAAACUAUAAAACUACCGAUUAUUGCUUUAUAAUGACAUUGUAGUUUUUAUUAUUGGUAUAAAUACAAAGACAUUUUGUGGUCAUCCUCAUUCCAGCAAUUGAGGUCACGGAAGAACUAACUACAAUAUUUUAAAGAUGAAACUCCUAGCCAUCUUCCUCUGCAUCGCGAUCGUCGUGGCAAUGGCGUCCGCAGCCGUUCACUGGGACCCAUCCGGCCAGUACCGUCUAAUCGAGUCCCCCGAGUAUGCCUACGAGUACGCGCCAGGCAUACCUUAUGCUGGAUACAGAUACGCGCCGUACCGCGCGUACAAUCCUUACGCGUACAAAUACGUUGCUCCUGCUGUUUAAAUUCUGACUCCUGGCGAUUGGAUAUGACGACACAAUAAAUUUUCAGGCAUUUUA